CCCCAGUCUUCCAAACCUUCACACUGCAGUCGUUGCGUUGCUCUUGCUGUGCUGCAACGACGCCACUGGCCACCGGCUAGCUGACGUUGAAGACCCUUCCACACAACCUCAUAGAGAUUGAGCCGAACAACUUCUCGCCAAUCUCCAAUUUCUUCCAGAAGAAGCAAUUUGAACAUUGCUUUUAGACAGUACGAGAAGGCCACCAUUCACAGUUUUGGGAAUGAAUAAAAAAUUUGGAGGUGGAAGGAAGCCAAUCGGGACUCCAUCCCUGGCUUGGUCGUCUGUUGUUGUCGUCUUCUCUCUUCUUGCUGGUGCCUCUGUUGUCCAUAAUAUCUAUAAGCCUAAUCUUACAUUGCCUCCAGUUGAUGGAGCUGAUGGGGCCAAACAGGGAGUUGAUGAGAAAGAAUGAGUAUGUCUUUUUUUUUGAAAAUUUCAACAUCCGGAAGAUGAACUGAUCUUACAGUGUGAAAGGAUACUGACAACAUAUGCAAGUAAGUGAGCACGAUAUAAACUUGAGGGCUGAUCUUUCCAUUUUUUUGGCGGGAAUUUUCUUUUUUAAUUUUGGAAUUUUUCAGAAGGGACUGUUUUAUAAGUAUCCGAAAAUAAUAGCUUGUGAGAGCAUAAUUGGGCAUUGUAGAAACAUCCAAUAACUUAAAAAAGUGAUUGGAAGGACAAGAGAGACAUAUAUAACUUUGUCACCAAUUGUAAUUUUUUCUCUUAGUUGACAGCUUGAUUUAUUUGUUUAUUGCAACAUCUUUCCCCGUUUGAAUCCGACAUUAUCUUUAACUAACUAAAGAGAUCUGUGG
Molecule: long non-coding RNA, 806 nt
Organism: Prosopis cineraria
Lineage: Eukaryota; Viridiplantae; Streptophyta; Magnoliopsida; Fabales; Fabaceae
Exons: 3
Source: RefSeq, a predicted model, not a curated record